RNAcentral lists this unclassified non-coding RNA (215 nucleotides) under Ascomycota sp. RNAcentral's name for it is "partial contains small subunit ribosomal RNA, internal transcribed spacer 1, and 5.8S ribosomal RNA". The stretch from base 1 to 47 matches the Rfam family "Eukaryotic small subunit ribosomal RNA", at positions 1785 to 1831 of the family's 1831-position model. Lineage: Eukaryota; Fungi; Ascomycota. The record is from RNAcentral.
AAAGUCGUAACAAGGUUUCCGUAGGUGAACCUGCGGAAGGAUCAUUACUGAGAGUACUGGGCUCUGCCUAGCUACUUUUACCCAUGUUUUUUGAGUACUUACGUUUCCUCGGCGGGUUCGCCCGCCGACUGGACAAAAUUAAACCCUUUGUAAUUGAAAUCAGCGUCUGAAAAACAUAAUAGUUACAACUUUCAACAACGGAUCUCUUGGUUCUG